This 322-nucleotide ribosomal RNA is filed under the name uncultured Acholeplasma sp. Its description in RNAcentral is "bacterial SSU rRNA". It matches the Rfam family "Bacterial small subunit ribosomal RNA", at positions 1053 to 1382 of the family's 1533-position model. Lineage: Bacteria; Bacillati; Mycoplasmatota; Mollicutes; Acholeplasmatales; Acholeplasmataceae. The record is from RNAcentral.
CGUCAGCUCGUGUCGUGAGAUGUGGUAAUCCGCACGAGCGCAACCCUUAUUGCUAGUUACCAUCAUUGAGUUGGGGACUCUAGCGAGACUGCCAGUGAUAAACUGGAGGAAGGUGGGGAUGACGUCAAAUCAUCAUGCCCCUUAUGACCUGGGCUACAAACGUGAUACAAUGGCUGAAACAGAGGGAGGCGAAGGGGUGACCUGGAGCGAAACCCAGAAAAACAGUCUCAGUUCGGAUUGAAGUCUGCAACUCGACUUCAUGAAGUCGGAAUCGCUAGUAAUCGCGGAUCAGAACGCCGCGGUGAAUACGUUCUCGGGGUUU